This 75-nucleotide transfer RNA is filed under the name bacterium. RNAcentral describes it as "tRNA-Val". It matches the Rfam family "tRNA". Rfam says of the family: Transfer RNA (tRNA) molecules are approximately 80 nucleotides in length. Their secondary structure includes four short double-helical elements and three loops (D, anti-codon, and T loops). Further hydrogen bonds mediate the characteristic L-shaped molecular structure. tRNAs have two regions of fundamental functional importance: the anti-codon, which is responsible for specific mRNA codon recognition, and the 3' end, to which the tRNAs corresponding amino acid is attached (by aminoacyl-tRNA synthetases). tRNAs cope with the degeneracy of the genetic code in two manners: having more than one tRNA (with a specific anti-codon) for a particular amino acid; and 'wobble' base-pairing, i.e. permitting non-standard base-pairing at the 3rd anti-codon position. The record is from RNAcentral.
GGGCGGUUAGCUCAGUGGUAGAGCGCUGCAUUCACAUUGCAGAUGUCAUAGGUUCAAAUCCUAUACCGCCCACCA